RNAcentral lists this long non-coding RNA (2809 nucleotides) under Nicotiana tabacum (common tobacco). RNAcentral's name for it is "long non-coding RNA (NTAB_LNC001773)". Lineage: Eukaryota; Viridiplantae; Streptophyta; Magnoliopsida; Solanales; Solanaceae. The record is from RNAcentral.
GGCCGCCGGCAAAGUCACCACCAAAAGCUGCUUCAUCCAACAACCCUGAAGAGCUAGAGAUUGAGAUUGCUGAAGUGUUAUACGGGUUGAUGACCCAGUCACAAGGACCUUCCAAGAAAGAAAGUGGUGGAGGAGGACGAAAUGAUACAACAAGAGAAGUCAAUAACAGAUCCAGAGUUUCUUCUCCUGUUUCAAAUUCUAACUCAUCAGCUACUCCUUUAUCUGCUGUUGGUGAGCAUAACUAAAAAAGUUCCAAUCUUUUUCCCCAAUAAAUAUCCCGUUUCUUGAUUCUGUUCUGAUGAGUCUUGGUUUUGUGCAGCUCCAAAGAGGAAAAGACCGAGGCAAGUCUUGGAAAAUCCUGGAGGAUUUGGUGCAAGGAGCAGCCCCAUUUCAUCUUCUACAGCUACUAAUAAAGUGGAGAUGGAUCAGACAACAACAAUGAAGAUGGAGGUUUCUUCUCCUAAUUUGGAGAAGACCCCACAAUCUGCUGCUGAAAAUGGUGUAUCUUUAUAUGAUUUAAGUGCUUCUGUACAAAGUUUGCCGGUUGCAUCGGAUCCGGUACCGGAGACGAUGAAGGUGGAAUCUGAGGCCAAGAGGAGGCCUGAGGAAUCUGAAUUUAUGGAGAGUAAGGAGGAGGUGAGGGAGUCUUCUACUUUGGGAGCAGAAAAUAGUAAUCGUGAGGAUGCUGUUGCAGUUACCCAAGUGUGAGUAUCUAUCCUAAGGUUUGAUCUUUUUGCUCGUAAUUCAACUUGUGUCUGAUUCAUGUGUUGUUGGAAUUUCAGGAUUGUUUCAGAAGUUGAAAGUCAGAGAGAGGAGAAAUUCCAGAUAGAUCUUAUGGUGAGGAUGAAGAUAUGCCUAAAACAAUCUAUUCAGUUUUUUUCCAAGUUUGGUAAUUGAUCUUUUAAAUAACUUUUUAGGCCCCUCCACCGCAGUUAAGAUCAUCACCUGAAAGGGAAGCUGAGAUAGAUUUUGGAUCAGCAGCUGUGGAUAAGAAGCCUAUUUUAGCAGAAAAUAUAGUAGUGAGUAUUCACUUUUUCUUUUCCUUUAUUUCGUCCCUUGAGGAUAUUGAGGAUGAUCUGAUGAAUGAAUUGGCUGAUGCGUACAGGAAAUGAAGCCUUCAGUGAAGGAGAAGGAUAAUGAAAGGAUUGGCAAGGCUGAGAAAGAAGAAGUGAUCAGUGUUGAAGCUGACGAAAAGAAGACAAAAGCAGCAGCCCUUGAGGAACUUAAUCCUCAUAAGGCAAGUGAGGGUAGCAGGGGUAGGAAUAUUGAUCUUCAGCUAGAUUUGGAAAGGCCAGAAAAGGAUAGUGGUGUAAGUAGCAAAUUCCAACAGCAGAGUCAAAAGUUGCUGCAGCAGCAGCCUCCACCACAAAAAGCUACUAAAGAAGAACCAAUUAUAGAAAAAACAGGUAGGUGUUGAUUUUAGGGUUGAUUGUAAUGAAAUCUUCCCUUGGAUUUUUUAAUUGAUGGGGGUGAUGUUUUCAAUAUUCAGGUCAAUCAAGCUCUUUACCAAUGCCAAUGUCUAUGGCUAGCUGGCCUGGUGGGCUUCCUCCCAUGGGGUACGGUCGGCUUGACUUAAUUGCUCAUUUAAUUGAUAUUACAAAGUAUUAGAUCCGUGGUGUAAAUGCUUCUGGCGAAAUAACUCAAUUCCUGUCAGCAGAUACAUGGCACCUUUGCAAGGAGUUGUAGCUAUGGAUGGAACCACAGUUUCCUCUGCUCCAAUCCAGGUAUUUCUCUCACUUCUCUUCUCUCUUUCCACCUUAGUCAUUUUCAAGCUGGAGUUUGAUUCAUGCUCUUCUGCCCCUUUUUUGUGCUUUUCAAUGUUAUGCAGCCGCUGUUCUCUCAACCGCGGCCAAAAAGAUGUGCGACACAUUGUUACAUUGCCAGGAACAUACAUUGCCUUCAGCAAUUCAUGAAGAUGCAUCCUUUCUGGCCACCAGCUGCUGGCUCUGCACCAUUCUAUGGAGCCAAGACCAAUCUCAAUGUUCUGCCGCCCACAGAUCUAGCUGGGAGAGCAACUGCUGGGCCAGAUAAGGGUCAGGGGCUUGCCAUUUUCCCUAAUAAUGUUGGUAAAGACAAAGUCCAGCCUGCAAACAUUGCAGAUGCUACUGCUCAGAGAAAGCAGCAAAUAUUACUCCAGCAAGCAUUGCCGCCUGUUGCGCCUAACAAUCUACUGGUAAAGUCUCUUACAGCUUAUUAGCACCUUAAUCUCUUGGCUUUCUCUAUUUUGGAACUUUUUAUGAAGAUCAGAGGAGUGCCUAAUUGCUGAGUCUUUUAUGAAUUUACAGCAUGGGCCUACUUUCAUCUUCCCUAUAAAUCAACAACAGGCAGCUGCAGCUGCUGCUGUGCGACCCGGUCCCACAAAGUCACCUAGCACAACGGCCACUGCAGCCUUGCCUAACACAUCCAAUCCUGCUGCUGGCACUGCUGCUUCAGCGGCAGCUGGUGGAGCUGCUACUGCAAUUAGUUUCAACUACCCAAAUAUGUCUCCUAAUGAAGCUCAGUACUUGGCGAUCUUGCAGAAUAAUGCGUAUGCUUUCCCAAUACCUGCUGUAGGAGCACCUCCAAAUUAUAGAGGAGCUCAUCCGCAGCCUAUGCCAUUGUUCAAUGGGUCUUUCUAUUCUUCCCAGAUGAUUCAUCCAUCCCAGGUUCAGCAACAGCAGCAGCCGCCUACAUCGCAGUCGCAACAAAUGCAACAAGGUCAACAAAACACAAGCAUGUCUAGUGGAUCCUCUUCAUCCCAGAAGCAUUUGCAGAGCCAGCAGCAGAGGUCCCAAGGCAAUGCUGUUACUGGUGGCAAUUUGCAUAAUUU